GCUUUCUUGGCUCAGUCGGUAGAGCGUAGGUCUCAUAAUCCUAAGGUCGUGAGUUCGAUUCUCACAGAAAGCA
This is a non-coding RNA of Gorgonomyces haynaldii, 73 nucleotides long. The record is from the annotation of a GenBank genome assembly. NCBI's taxonomy places the organism in Eukaryota, Fungi, Chytridiomycota, Chytridiomycetes, Rhizophydiales, Gorgonomycetaceae.